This 1793-nucleotide long non-coding RNA is filed under the name Homo sapiens (human). Its description in RNAcentral is "HSALNT0217736". The record is from RNAcentral. Lineage: Eukaryota; Metazoa; Chordata; Mammalia; Primates; Hominidae.
AAAGGAUUCAUAUUCCUCGAAUAAAAGUUAUCUCCUUUUCUCAAGAUCAAUGGUCCCUACUUGCACCUAUCAAACUGGCCAUGCCCAUGCCCAUUCUGGGCCCAUAUGGAAGCUCUCUUUGCACCUUUUGGUUGACCUCUGAGGAGCAGCUUGGAUACCUUCUUCCCCUUAACACUGUAGAGGCUCUCUGCAACAGAACUCCCUACAUCUCACAGCACCAGCCUCCGUUCUCCUACCAAGUGUGAUUUGUGUGUCUAGCCUUCUCUAGGACUUCUGCCAGAUUGGGUACAGCUAGGAGAGCCACAUUCAAAACCAAGAAGAGAAAGGAGUCAUAGAGCCACAGCCAGAAUGUUUAGGAUCCAAGGUGGCUGCCAGGACUCCAGAUGUCACAUCCCUUUCCCAAGCAGCAGGAUGGAGAGAGAAAGAGAGAAGGUCGUCCAGUCUCUCUUUGAAAAGACUUCCUGGAAGAAUUGCACAUCUGCAGAUGUUCCGUGGAGCAUCAUCACCAAAAAUGCACACGAAACUGCCACUAGAAGCAAAUGGAGGAAGCACACAGCAGGACUGGGUGUCUUUAAUUGCCAUUGCGAACGUGUGUCCAUCUGCACCACGUGAAUGAUUUGCGGCACAGCCGGGACCUGGCUCAGUUCUCUUGACACAUACAUCAACUCACAAGCACUGAAGUGGCAAGGCUGUUUGCAGAAGACAUUUAAGGCAAAAAUAGAUUGCAUCUUAAAAUCUCCUUACAGGACAUAGGUGGCACAUUGAAGAAAGCUUCAAUGCAACAAUAAUUUACAAUAACAUGGGCACAGUAAUGGAAAACAGCAAAGAACUGUGAGGAACUUUGCUGGCACUUUUUCCAGGGCCAGCAGCUGGAAAGAGGGGCCACAAAACAUCAGCAAGGAAACUGCUGUUCUAAAAGAAAGACACAAGAAGCUGUGCUUCCAGAAGAGAAAAGUAGUCACUGCCACCCCAGGAACCUGGCAUGGAGGGAUGCAGUGGUGUAAUACCACUCUCUCCUUGCACCACCCACAAGCCCAGCCCAUCCUGGGGACAGACGCAUGCUGAAAGUGGAGGUCGGGUCUGGAAGGGCAAAAGCAGAUGGCCCAGCAUAGCCCACCACUUUUCUUUGUCAACAUCAAGUAUUUCUGUGUCUGUACGAAAAACCAAGGUUCUGUCCCAGGGAAAUGACGGAGUCCCAUCAGCUACAGGAUCAUAACAAGGAGAUGUCAAUUCAGUCAUACUCGCCUGAAAGCUACAGCACCUUGAACGGUUCACCCAACCACCUCAUCUGCAUGUGGUUCUCGUGGCACGUAAAGCCCUAACUGGGUGGUCUCAGUUUCACACCGCUAUGACUUUGUUUUCUGCUGGAAGCAGUUCCCCUUAUCACCAGAGCCUCCAAACCUAGAAAAGCCAAGAAAGCAGAGAUGGAAGCAAUUCCUGAUGUGGGCUAUUUGGGGCAAAACUGGUAUCUCCCCUUAUGUCCCCCGUGAGUAAGCAUUCCACAGACAGUUUCAAAACAUUAUGUUGUAUACUGAUGUACACCAGAAAUAAUAAAACCAUCAGAAUUCCCUGUCAGUUGCUGAUUCUCUAACAAAAAUAAAUCCAACCUUGGCCCCUAAUAUAACUGAAGAUAUUUGAAGAUAAGUCAUGUCUUUGUGGAUAUGAUAAUAUGUGAGAAAAUUACUUUCUCCAUGAUAAACAGGUUACGUGAAAACUCAUUAACCUCGACAGGUUUUGAGGAGUUUUUCCCAUUUAAAUGCCUGUUGUGUUUUGACUUGCUGAGUCUUCUGAAG